This 274-nucleotide ribosomal RNA is filed under the name uncultured bacterium. RNAcentral describes it as "partial 16S ribosomal RNA". It matches the Rfam family "Bacterial small subunit ribosomal RNA", at positions 523 to 796 of the family's 1533-position model. The record is from RNAcentral.
AUACGGAGGGUGCAAGCGUUACUCGGAAUCACUGGGCGUAAAGCGCGCGCAGGCGGCUUGAUAAGUUGGAUGUGAAAGCCUACGGCUCAACCGUAGAACUGCAUCCAAAACUAUUUAGCUAGAGUGUGGGAGAGGAAGAUGGAAUUAGUUGUGUAGGGGUAAAAUCCGUAGAGAUAACUAGGAAUACCAAAAGCGAAGGCAAUCUUCUGGAACACUACUGACGCUGAGGCGCGAAGGCGUGGGGAGCAAACAGGAUUAGAUACCCGGGUAGUCC